Molecule: unclassified non-coding RNA, 489 nt
Filed under: Borreliella burgdorferi (Lyme disease spirochete)
Lineage: Bacteria; Pseudomonadati; Spirochaetota; Spirochaetia; Spirochaetales; Borreliaceae
Description: partial 16S-23S ribosomal RNA intergenic spacer
Rfam family: tRNA (bases 126-199)
Source: RNAcentral
UCUUUUCUUUUGAUAGGAGAGUUUUUAAAACCAGUGUUAUUUUUGUAAGUUUAAGAGAAGUUUGUGUAUUGAAUUUUUAAUAUUAAAGAGCUUUGUUAAACUUAGACUUAAGUUUAGGUCAUUUUGGGGGUUUAGCUCAGUUGGCUAGAGCAUCGGCUUUGCAAGCCGAGGGUCAAGGGUUCGAGUCCCUUAACCUCCAUUGGGCUUAUGUCCUAAAUUGUAAUUAAGUAUGUUUUUAAGCAACUUUAUUAAAGUAAUUGUUGGAAUGUGAAACAGAGGAAGUUAAAAUUUCUGGGUUAAGUUGAGAUCUGUUGAUAUUAAGAAGAAUCUCUAGAAGCAAAAGCAAGCUUUCGAUAAAACCCGAAGUUGUUUCGCUAAAGUGCAAGGAUUAAACAGGAUUGUAUUUUCCAGUAGCCUAUUUUAUAAACGAUCUGCAUUUAGUAAAUAGUUUUUAGUUAGGAAAUAAUGUAUAUUGCUAAGUGUGAUGUC